Molecule: unclassified non-coding RNA, 3595 nt
Filed under: Neodiprion pinetum (white pine sawfly)
Lineage: Eukaryota; Metazoa; Arthropoda; Insecta; Hymenoptera; Diprionidae
Description: sodium/potassium-transporting ATPase subunit beta-1- interacting protein, transcript variant X1
Source: RNAcentral
AGAACAACAAGUGUUGGUUGAAAAAUGGCAGCGCCGUAGCAUCAUCAGGAACCAUCCGUAGUGAUGAUUUUGUGACAAAAGUAAUAAUAUCACAGUAUUUUUAGAGCGCGAUCCGGUCUGAUUGAUUAAAAUUAAUUGGUCCCAAUGACAUGGGAAUUUGUAGCAGAAGGCACUUUCUACUGACAAUAUGCAUCCUUCAGCUUAUCACAACAAUAGAGCGUCAGGUGUUCGACUCCCUUGGUUUCAUGUGGGCGCCGAUACUGGUCAAUUUCUUCAACAUUAUAUUCGUUAUUCUCGGAUUUUUUGGAGCGUUUCAGUAUCGGCCUAAAUACAUUAUAGUGUAUUGUGUAUGGAACAUACUCUGGCUUGGGUGGAACAUAUUUUUGAUAUGUUUUUAUCUCAGUGUUGGAAUUUUGGACAAGGACAGCGAUGUCCUGAAUCUGGGCACUGGUAGCUUUUCCUGGUGGCAAGCUAAUGGACCGGGAUGCAAGGCUACAUACAAUGUAACGGAACAAGAAGAAUCAUCCAGACCACCAAAACCCGCCAAUGUUACUGACUGUAUCUUGGAUUAUCAAGUAAUCGAAGUUUUUCAUGCUGGAACGCAAUGUCUUUUGGCGCUGAUGGCGAUAGUCGGUGGAAUUUGCUUGAGUCGGGUUUUUCUUGAGGAAGAUGAUAGCUCAGUACAAACUAAAGAUAAGAAGAGUAAAAAGAAAAAGCAGCCAAGGCCGUUGUACAGCAUCGAGUAUUCUCAACCGGAGCCAUCGACAAACGACGAGAACAUAUCUCCAAAGCCGAUGACACCCAGGAGAGUAAAACGUCGCUCUGUGAUAUCGAGGGACGGAACGCGGAGGUCGAGUCGAAGGAGUUCUGUGCGUCAAUCGCGGCGCAAGAAUCCGGUCAACAGAAUAAUAGAUCAGCAAGAAAAUCUCUACGCCAAUACGCAGCCGAGUAAUUUGACAAACCAAAACGUGAACUCACUGUCUCACGAAACACUGAACUAUGACAGGAUCUCCAACACUUGGGACAGGGACAGGACCAGGAAUCCAAAAUGGCAACCAGAGGCUGUCAACAUGGCCAUAUCGGUGCCCACUUUAUGGAACCAGGACUCGAACUGUUCGAAUGCUAAUCCGACCAAUGAAACCGCCAACCAGAAUUGGGACGUUAAUGCAACUUCGACGAGGAACCUGACUGACAAUUGGCGUUCGACCGAGGCCAGCAUGCAGUGGCAGGGCCAGAGUAAUCCAACUUUUCAACAAACGAGUACGCAGAGUUUGAACGGGGAGGAUUUGGACGAUGUUUACAGCAACAGGCCCGCCAGUGCCAGGUCUAGCUACAGCAAUUAUCACGGGGUCAGAGCUACGCCUCAAGUUCCCAGUCGAACCGACAUUGUCAGGCAAAGCCAACGUCAGUUUGUUCUCAGCGGUCCGCCUGCUUAUCAGGAUACCGUGAUUUGAGAUUUAACGAAAUAGUGUUGCGCUGUUUUAGUUUUGUGUCCCGACAAUUGCACCGUGCCUCAAUAUGGAUUCUUCUUUCGCUUAGCCAGCUGCACAAACGACUGAUUUUGAAAAAUUUGAGACAUGGAAGCGUGGGUUCCGAAUGAUAUAGAAUUCACUUUUAGUGGAAUGUUUUUUUUUACGAAUUUCUCUGCCCAACUAUGGAAAAUAUCUUGAUAGAAACGCUUUAUACAUUGGGACUUUGCAAAGAAAAUUUCUCUUGUUAGCUCCGUAUUUUUUAACUUUGUCAUUUCUCCGUGUUUCUUCAUGUCAUUCAGCUUUUGCUUAAACGAUUGUGAAAUUCUUUUUCUGUAUUGUUUUGUAGAUUUUUAAUUCAUCGUGCCCACUGGGAAUUCGAAAAAUGGUCAGGCAAGUCAGGGAAAAGUCAGGGAAUCUUGUGGAGGUAUCAAUAAAAAAAGAUAAAGCUGUCCUCACAAAAACGAAAAAUCAAAUAACAGUUUUUGUCCGUGUGCUUGGUUCCAUGACUAUUAAACAGAUCAUAAACGUAUUUUUUAGUACCGAUUGACUGGAAACUUUAUAAUUUGUUAGAUGUCGAAUUGCCAUUAUUAAUUCGGAGGGAAAAAUUAUAAUUCGGUCAGGAAAAGUCGGGGAAUUUGUGUGUAAGUUAUUCGAAGAGCGUGACCCACCAGCUGUUGUUUGCAACAAAAAUUAUCGUUUCGUUCGGUUUAUUACAAAUCCAAAAGUUCAGAUAAACGCAAUGCUUUAUGAUCGUUGGAAAAAAUUUAUACGAAGUAUGAAUUACGCAAAGAAAUAUUAGACAUUCGGAUAUUCUCCAAACAAAAAUGGAUUAACAUUAGCAAAUUGCAACAACAUUUUCUAGAAUUCGCAAAAAAUUACACUUUUUCAACAAAAAGUAGGUACAGGAAAAUUAAUUCCAGCGAAAUCCAGAACCUGAUAGAAGAAAGAAAUUGUUACGAGUCGAUUAAGGAUUUUAGAAAAAUGUAGAAUGAUUUGGAGCAUUUUGGAGAGAACAUUAAUUAAACAAAUUCGAAGGAACUAGAGAUUUUUACGGAUGCACGGCCCUUUUCGAGUUUUAUUCUCCUCUCAUAACUGUUGAAACUUUCCGAUUUGAGAAUUUUCUGAGACUUAUUAUUUGGCAACUUUUAAUGCAUAACUUUUGAAAUAAAAAUUAUUCUCACCGAGACAAGAGAAAUAUAAGACUUGAAGAAAUUUCUCCAAUAAUUUUUUCCUUUUUGUUGACAUUGUAUCACUUGCUCAAAUGAUUCAGCAUCUAUUGGUAUCUUAACUGCUGUACCGAUCUUCCUAUUAAAUUUAGACAAUUAUUUAUCCGACAUUCAAAUCAUUUUCAUCAUCUUUUCACCAUUCUACCUGAACAAUAAGUAUCGAGUAAAUCUCGAAUAAGACAUAUGAAGUUCAUAUAUUUUUCUUACUAAUUAUAGCGAUAUACUUUUGAUAUUAUAAUUGUCCAACCAAAUUUAAUGAAAUUUGAAUUACCACUUUUACAUGCACGUCGCACGUUGAUAUUAUUAUAAGUUCACAACACGCACCUUUUACAAUGAAUUACACAUAUUUCACGUGAUCAUCACACUUUUUUUCUGAUUUACUGUCGUACGUCCAUAAUUAUCGUUAAUAAUCAUUAUUAUUGUAACAAUGAUCAUUCAUGUUGAAUUAAAUGCAAUGAAUCUCAAAUCAAAAAUAAGGAAACUCGUUCGAUAUGAUAGUAGUAGCGACGUUUUUAAAUGUAACUACAAUUAGACGAAACGAAGGAUGAAACUGGCAUAUAGGUUUAUAUGUUUUUAUACAAGUUUUCAUCGUGAUAUUAUUAUAAAUAUACACUAUAUUUGCAAUUGAAAAAUUAAAAUAGAGUACGAAAGAAAAAAAAAAAGAAAAAAUUUUUAGAGUAAAAAAAAUUUGCUAUUUAUUGUACAUUAAUUAUAAUUGCAAUAUAAACAAUUUAUAAUGAAUAUACAUACAUAUAAGAUAAUUAACGCUUGAAUAAACAAAAUUUACGCCGUCUUCCAAUUUUUGAGAUACACUUUUUUCCAAUAAAAUUUUAUACAGACACGUCUAUUUCGCGUGCAAUAAAUCUAAAACGAUAGUAAUAAUCUUGAUUUUAAAAA